Pseudomonas lutea is the source of this 214-nucleotide non-coding RNA. Lineage: Bacteria; Pseudomonadati; Pseudomonadota; Gammaproteobacteria; Pseudomonadales; Pseudomonadaceae. The record is from Rfam.
CUGCGGCGCAGGCUUCAACCGGCGCCGUAGUUUUAACCUGAGCAGUUGUCGUAUGGCCUCAGCUCUUAUUUUGAAGAAAUGAAACCAGCAGGGGCAUCCGGGCUGGUACCCGGACUAUCUGCGUGAUUCCUAGUGACUUGAAGUCGCUGCACAUGGACUUUUCAAGUUUGCGCUGGCAUCGACGCCGAUGGUGUCCCCUAACCGAGGGUGACCA